UGAGGAGCUCAUCUUCUUCUUGGAGUCUUCAUUUCGAAGGUUGGAGUAUGAAAAUAUUGUGGUGAUUCUUAGAUCGUGAAAGAAAUCUAUCAAGAUUGAGAUUUGGAGGAUAGGAUAGGGAUAGAAAGUUUGAAGUUUAAAAGCUCGUAUAUUGCAUGUGAGGAUCGAGCUUGAGAAAUUCAAAAAAAAUAUAUAUGAAUAUCAAGG
Molecule: long non-coding RNA, 207 nt
Filed under: Elaeis guineensis (African oil palm)
Lineage: Eukaryota; Viridiplantae; Streptophyta; Magnoliopsida; Arecales; Arecaceae
Description: long non-coding RNA (EGUI_LNC025592)
Source: RNAcentral